GAUCAAGUCAAAGUACGUCUGGGAGUUUACAAUGUUCUUUUGCGUCGAGUAAUAGUAUCCGACAAGGCACACCGAUCGAGGAUCAUGGACGGUUUGAAAAAUGCAAAGAAGGUUGUAUGAUCUAGAUAGAACGGUCUACCUUUCUUCAUUAAGUCAUAUAUACAGGAAAGGAGAAGAUAGUGGAUUUCGUGGAGAACCAUGGAGGUGACGUCGAGUCACCUGACGCAUACUAGACCAUUGCCGAGUGCAACUUCGUGACAGAUAAUUACUUGGACGACGAAAUAACGUAAGUGUAGGCGAACUUACCCAAGAACGUUGUAUACCUGGAUAUUUGACCCAAGAACGUUGUAUACCUGGAUAUUUGACUUUGUUUGAUAUUUCAAUAUCUAUAUGAUUAUAAGCAGUUUAUAACGAACCAAUUUAAGCGCUUUGGUUUAUUUUCUUAGCGUUGGACAGACAGCUGAUCAUAAAUAAUACAAACAUAUUAAUUUAAACUUUCUUUUUUACUCUCUAGACGGAGCACGAAAAAACAGUAUUCAACUUAAGCAGGUUUAAUUUGUCAAGUGAGUGAGUGAGUGAGUGAGUGUGUGAGUGAUAAAAUGAGUAAGUGAAUGAAUGAGUAAGUGAAUGAAUGAGUAAGUGAAUGAGGGAGUCAGUGAGUCAGUGAGUGAGCAAGCGAGUGUUUGUGGUUUGGUUUAAGCAGGUUUUCGGAUUAUGUAGGGUAAUGUUUGGUAAGGCUACACCUUAGCAUUUUAGUUAUUGUCAUAUUUUCUUUUACCGGCCUUUACCAGCAGAUGAAUUGUCAAGAGAGCACUUAAUUGUAUACCAAAGGAUCUUAAAUACGAUCUAGGCAGGUACAACUGUGAGCAUUUUGCGACAUGGUGUAGAUAUGAGUUUGCCUACUGUCACCAACCGUGUGAGGUAGCAGCUACUUUGGGAACUGUUUUUGGUUAGAAUCAAGUACACGCAACCAUAAACGCACAUUCAAAAAAGGCAUUCUACAAUGUGGACACUUAAUCCAUUAACAAACAAUUGUUCAUUGGAAGCUUAAAAGUAAAGAAGUUAUAAUGACAGUGCGAAUAGAGAAAUUUAUGAAAUGUUCGAGGUCGUCCAUUUAUCAAAUCAAAAAUAAAGAAUCAACUCGUGUAACACCAUAAGAAGCUUAACAGUUACUACGGAUUCAUGGUCAGGUUUGGCUGUUCCAAAUAUAAAGCAAGGAAGUUACUGAAUUAAUAAGCUGAUAUCAAAGCAUACCCACUCGGCCACCAGUUAGCAGAAGGCUCAUUGUACUGAAAACACUAUCGUGAAAUUGUUUGUAGGGAAUCUGUGAAUGAAGAGCAAAACUAUGUGAAUAAAAACAGUAGAAAACAUGUGAAAACGACGAAGGGAUAUACUUAGACAUCAGCAAAUAAAUCCAGUUAAAACUGUU
This is a long non-coding RNA of Mizuhopecten yessoensis (Yesso scallop), 1429 nucleotides long. RefSeq lists it as uncharacterized. The transcript has 2 exons. The record is from RefSeq and is a predicted model, not a curated record. NCBI's taxonomy places the organism in Eukaryota, Metazoa, Mollusca, Bivalvia, Pectinida, Pectinidae.